AACAAAAUGCAAAACGAAAGACAAAACCCAACUACAGAGGGAAUAUCAUAACACAUAGCCAAAAAUGGCAAGAGUUGGAGUUACAAAUAUGGAAAGUUACAUCCGGGGUGUUACAGUUACGCCUCAUGGUAGUCUUCCAGCAAAAAUAAUUGAUACUACAUAAACAUGAUAGAACCAAGUACUAUUCAUGCCAUAAACAUUUCAAGCUUAGGAACCCAAUAUUAAUCAUACCACGGGUCGAGGUUUUACAUCUUGAAUGCUAUGGAAAUGACGGUAGCAAAAUCAGGAGGAUUGAGGACGAUACAUGCUCCAGAAUUGUUGUAACUGUCCUUGGAAGUCUGUAGCAGAAUCAAAUAUUGAUUGUUAGAACUCAUUUCAGAUAGAAGUAAAACAACAAAUUUAACUAUACAAUUAAUACAUGGUUAGUUGGUCAAUAUCCUUCCUGAACAUGAAUUUGAAUUGUGUGGAUGCAUACUACUACCUGCAAAAGCAUGAUAGAUAUCAUCACCAUAUAUGUUUCUCUUCUUGUGUUUUGGUUGCAUUAUCUGUCAAGUAAUUUAUGAUUUCUCGAACUCCUAACUGAGCAGCAAAAUAAUAACAGAGAUUGUUACAGCCUUUGACUCACCUCUAUGAGCAGCAGUGAGUUGACGAUGAUCCUGAAAAAAAUAAGGGAACCAAAAGAGCUACAUUACUUCCACUCCGAAGUAGUGUAACAAGUAUUGCAGGAAAUAUUUUUGAUCUAGAAAAUGAAACUAUCCAUUAGUUGCACAAUAAAUCUCUCGUGCUAGUUGUUCAAUCUAGCAGUUUGGUGGCAUGGACAGAACAGACUUUCAGAGUUUCAGUACUUCUUUCGUUUGAACCUUAAGACAUAACCAAGCACAUAGGGGAUAAACCAUCCAGCACACUUUCCUUGCUAUAAGAGAGCAUACAACUGAAGCAGAUCUCCAUCAUUAAAAUUGUUGAUUUUUAUCAUAACAUUCCAAGAAGAGACAAUUUCCCGGUUAUUAAUUUAAUUUACAACUAAUUUCCGCGCAAAAGAUAGCUUUCUAGUUGGAGAUGUACAAUUAAAAGAAUAUGUUAAGUUGGCUGGACACGUUAUUCCAUUCCGGAUAAGUAUUGCUAGAUUUAAGCUGGUUGGUCAUGUAAACUAAUAGUAUUUCAACUACAUAUUUGCAGAAAUCGAUUACAGCCGUGCGCAGGAAGACUCAUCCCAGCUUCUCGCUGGAUUACAGUCGAUUACACCACUUUCAGCUUGCUCUUAUGGCAGUCAGGUGUGAGCCUAGUUGUUUGAACAACACAGAGGUACAAAAUUAAUUAAAAAUAGCAUGAGUGCCAUCUUAAUAUCCUCUCUAUCUCUCUCUCGGUUGGGUGGGAAAGACGGGACAAGCUGCAAAUAUACAAGGUGGGAGAAGGGCCGGUUCGUACCUUCAGGAGAAGAAGCAGGCGCUAAGCCUCUGCCGCCGCUGGUAGCCCGCCGGAGUAUCCCCUCUUCGCCGCCCCGCAGGCCCUCGCCCGCCAAUCCCAUCUUCCUCCCUUGCUGUGCCGCAGUGGAAGAGCCAGGUGCAGAUCGAGGGAAGGGAGCCGGCGGCGUAGAUCGAGAGAGGGAGAGACAAGGAAGGUUUCAUCACGACUUCACGAGCCAAAGAGAGGAAUGAGCGUUGUAUGCGGAGUCAGGGUGCAGUGCGUGGAAUAUUCCUAUG
RNAcentral lists this long non-coding RNA (1700 nucleotides) under Triticum aestivum (bread wheat). RNAcentral describes it as "long non-coding RNA (TAES_LNC017674)". The record is from RNAcentral. Lineage: Eukaryota; Viridiplantae; Streptophyta; Magnoliopsida; Poales; Poaceae.